Helianthus annuus (common sunflower) is the source of this 2689-nucleotide RNA transcript. It is a transcript of the gene named receptor-like protein 18, with no coding region annotated. Lineage: Eukaryota; Viridiplantae; Streptophyta; Magnoliopsida; Asterales; Asteraceae. The transcript is spliced from 2 exons. The record is from RefSeq and is a predicted model, not a curated record.
GCCACCAACUCGUGAAAAGCUAAACUUUUAUUUUUGCAUUACAAAAUUGGUUUAUGAUAGGCCAUAAUGCAUCUUCCCUUGCUUGUGAGACCAAACUUUACCUUACUCCAAAAUGGAAACCAGUUUUCUUAUCAUUUUUACAUUUCUAUUCCUCCAAAGAUUUGGCACAAGCAGAAACACCAUGAUUUCGACUUCUUCGAACGUUACUUGUAUCGAAAGGGAGAGGCUGUCCCUUCUUGUAUUCAAACAAACCCUCACAGACAGAUUUAAUCUACUGUCAACAUGGACAGGAGUAGAAGGUUGUGAGUGGCAGGGAGUUGGAUGCGAUAGUCGAAACCGUCAUGUUGUGAAACUUGAUCUUCGAGCUUCGACGUCUUUGAAGACGGAUGCCAACUUGCUCCAAGGUGAGUUGAGUCCUUCGCUACAGAAUUUAAAGCAUUUGCUUUACUUGGACUUGAGCAUGAAUGGUUUCUCAGGAAACAUUCCUGAAUUCUUAGGAUCGUUUGAACAUUUGAAAUACCUUAACUUGUCAUGCUCAGGUCUCGGUGGAGUAGUUCCACAUCAUCUAGGAAAUCUCUCAAGGUUACAAUAUCUUGAUCUUAGAAAUAGUUUUGUCCUAGAUCAGAUUCAUUAUGAUAAUCAUCGGACAGGUUCUCGUUUUGUUAAAUUUUCAAAAGUGUCCAUUAUGGAUGGUUUGGGAUGGGUGUCUUCGCUAUCAUCAUUAAGGCACUUGGAUUUAUCCGGUGUAACCAUUGGUAAACAUAUUGAUUGGUUCCAUCCAGUUAAUAUGCUCCCUUCUUUGCUUACGUUAAACCUGGCUUACUCCGAUAUAGAUAUCCCUUCCAUUAAAUUCGUCAAUUUCACGUCUCUUAAUUCACUUGACCUUUCUGGUAAUGGCAUCAGUUCCACCAUUCCUAUCUGGUUAUCGAACCUUACGGGCCUCAUGCAUCUUAACCUUUAUUCUAACGACUUCCAUGGUAAAAUUCCUGACUUUCUUGGAACGUUCAGAGAACUGGCUUCCAUCGACCUCUCGUCCAAUUCCCUUAACGCUUCGAUACCAGAUAUGUUAUGUAAUUUGAGCAGCCUCGUUCAUCUACAACUUUCAAGAAACAUGUUUUCUGGUCCUAUUCCUGCAAACCUUGGACUACUCUCGAGGAUAGAAGACUUGUAUCUAUAUAAUAACCAAUUGAGUGGGAACAUUCCCAUGAGUCUUGGCCAACUUUCAAAGCUAAAGAAUCUAGAUCUCUCCGACAAUUCAUUGGUUGGGGUUCUUUCCGAAACUCACUUCACCAAGCUAAAUAAUCUGAGUUAUCUGGCAUUGAAGUCGAACCCGCUAGCGUUGAAUUUCAGCACACAAUGGAUUCCUCCCUUCCAACUGCAAAUGUUUUUUGCAAGUUCUUGCAACAUCGGACCCCACUUCCCGAACUGGCUUCAAACACAGACAAAUCUUCAGAGAUUAGAUCUUUCUAACUCGAGUAUUAGAGAUUCACUACCAAAAUGGUUUGAGAAUAUAUUAUCUCGUAUUUCAGAAUUGGAUUUGUCCUAUAACCAAAUCAGUGGAAAACUGCCACGGUUUCAUGGAAAUAGUAGUAACCAGAUCCUGAAGAUGAACUCGAACAAAUUUGACGGAUCACUCGCUACAUUUCCAUCGAAUGUGAAAUAUUUGGAUCUUUCACAUAACUUACUCUCUGGGCAUAUUCCUCAAACUGAUGGAACAAUGAACCCAAAUCUAGGUAUACUUUAAUAUAACAGGGACAAUCCCUCGUUGCUUUGGAAAUUUAAGUGGCAUGAUGAUCGCGCCUUCGAUGGUAUACUUUAGAGAGUACUAUAUGUCUUAUUAUGAAGAAAAUCUAUUGGCUUCCAUGAAGGGAAGGCAGUUGGUGUACACUAAGACAAUAAAGUUUCUUACAUCCUUAGACCUCUCAAACAAUAAUAUUGUUGGAGAAAUUCCCGACACUCUAAUGAAUCUUGUGAGGUUAAAGAACUUGAAUCUUUCCGGAAACCUCCUAAAUGGAAAGAUUCCAACUAGCAUCGGAAAUCUAAAGCAACUGGAAUCUUUAGAUUUGUCGAUGAACAAGUUAUCUGGUCAGAUUCCUCAAAGUUUGACUAGCUUGAACUUUCUAAGCUACAUGAACCUGUCAUUCAAUAACUUAUCCGGCCAAAUUCCGGUUGGAAAUCAGAUCCAGACUCUAGAUGACCUGUCUAAUUAUAAAGGGAACAAUGGACUAUGCGGGCCACCAGUUUCGAGAAGAUGCAAUGUAAAUGAUGUACCAUACAAUUAUGUUGAUGAAGGUGAAGGUGAAGGUGAAGAUGAUACUGAAAGUGUGUGGUUGUAUGCUGGCAUGGGCCCGGGAUUCUUCGUUGGAUUCAUGGGACUACUUGGGAGUUUGCACCUUAACAGAAGGUGGCGGGUGGCUUACUUUGAGACUCUUGGAAAUGUUUACCGUUGGCUAACAGUAUCAAUUCUGCUUAAUCUGGCUAGCCUAAGGAGAAAAGUUUUCAAAUGAGGUCGACAGCCUUGAUUCUUGGCUGAACAUUGCUGCAAUCUUUUGUUCCGGACUGAUUUGUAAAAAGCUCUAAUGCUUAUUUUAAUGCUCUGAUACCAUGAAAGACAAGAUAGUUAGUUAUUACAAAAGUAUAUUUAUAAGGAAUUAUGAUUUCUUUCUCAUAUAUUAAAAUUAUUACAAAG